This is a non-coding RNA of Podarcis lilfordi (Lilford's wall lizard), 78 nucleotides long. Lineage: Eukaryota; Metazoa; Chordata; Lepidosauria; Squamata; Lacertidae. The record is from the annotation of a GenBank genome assembly.
GCCAGGCCAUAAUUCAGGGGUAGAACAUCUGCUAUGAAUGCAGAAGGCACCAGGUUCAGUCCCUGGCAUCCCAGGGUA